UACGUAGGGUGCGAGCGUUGUCCGGAAUUCCUGGGCGUAAAGAGCUCGUAGGUGGUUUGUCGCGUUGUUCGUGAAAACCUGAGGCUUAACCUUGGGCGUGCGGGCGAUACGGGCAGACUGGAGUACUGCAGGGGAGACUGGAAUUCCUGGUGUAGCGGUGGAAUGCGCAGAUAUCAGGAGGAACACCGGUGGCGAAGGCGGGUCUCUGGGCAGUAACUGACGCUGAGGAGCGAAAGCGUGGGGAGCGAACAGG
This 253-nucleotide ribosomal RNA is filed under the name uncultured bacterium. RNAcentral's name for it is "partial 16S ribosomal RNA". It matches the Rfam family "Bacterial small subunit ribosomal RNA", at positions 524 to 776 of the family's 1533-position model. The record is from RNAcentral.